Molecule: ribosomal RNA, 868 nt
Filed under: Cristinia helvetica
Lineage: Eukaryota; Fungi; Basidiomycota; Agaricomycetes; Agaricales; Stephanosporaceae
Description: eukaryotic LSU rRNA
Rfam family: Eukaryotic large subunit ribosomal RNA
Source: RNAcentral
AGGAUUCCCCUAGUAACUGCGAGUGAAGAGGGAUGAGCUCAAAUUUAAAAUCUGGCGGUCCUCGAGGCUGUCCGAAUUGUAAUUUAGAGAAGCGUCACCCGCGUUGGACCGUGUACAAGUCUCCUCGAACGGAGCAUCAUAGAGGGUGAGAAUCCCGUAUAUGACACGGACUACCAGGGCUUUGUGGUGCGCUCUCGACGAGUCGAGUUGUUUGGGAAUGCAGCUCAAAAUGGGUGGUAAAUUCCAUCUAAAGCUAAAUAUAGGCGAGAGACCGAUAGCGAACAAGUACCGUGAGGGAAAGAUGAAAAGAACUUUGGAAAGAGAGUUAAACAGUACGUGAAAUUGUUGAAAGGGAAACGCUUAAAGUCAGUCGCGUCUUUCAGAGAUCAACCUAGCCUUCCGCUUGGUGCACUCUUUGGAGGACGGGUCAGCAUCAAUUUUGACCGGGGGAAAAAGUUGGUGGGAAUGUGGCACUCUCGGGUGUGUUAUAGCCCAUUUGCAUAUACCUCGGUUGGGAUUGAGGAACUCAGCGCGCCGCAAGGCCGGACUUUUGUCACGUACGCGCUUAGGAUGCUGGCAUAAUGUCUUUAAUCGACCCGUCUUGAAACACGGACCAAGGAGUCUAACAUGCCCGCGAGUGUUUGGGUGUAAAACCCGAGCGCGUAAUGAAAGUGAAAGUUGAGACCUCUGUCGCGGAGGGCAUCGACGCCCGGAUCAGAUCUUUUGGGACGAUUCCGAGGUAGAGCGUGCACGUUGGGACCCGAAAGAUGGUGAACUAUGCCUGAAUAGGGUGAAGCCAGAGGAAACUCUGGUGGAGGCUCGUAGCGAUUCUGACGUGCAAAUCGAUCGUCGAAUUUGGGUAUAGGGG